RNAcentral lists this non-coding RNA (21 nucleotides) under Arabidopsis thaliana (thale cress). Lineage: Eukaryota; Viridiplantae; Streptophyta; Magnoliopsida; Brassicales; Brassicaceae. RNAcentral also lists the same sequence under 1 other name. The record is from RNAcentral.
UGUGAUUUCUGCCCAGUGCUC